GAUGUUGGCUUAGAAGCAGCCACUCAUUUAAAGAGUGCGUAAUAGCUCACUGGUCGAGUGAUUGUGCGCCGAAAAUGUACCGGGGCUAAACUGUGUACCGAAGUCUAGGGAUCGUGAUAAACGAUCGGUAGGGGAGCAACGUGUGCGGGCUGAAGCCGAAGCGGAAGCGACGGUGGACUGCACGGGAGAGAGAAUGCCGGCAUGAGUAGCGAGAGCAAAGUGAGAAUCUUUGCCGUCGAAAGCCUAAGGUUUCCUGAGGAAGGCUCGUCCUCUCAGGGUAAGUCAGGACCUAAGCCGAGGACAAAAGUCGUAGGCGAUGGACAACUGGUUGAUAUUCCAGUACCACCUUUAGCGUUUGACUGAAGCAGUGACACAGAAGGAUAGACAGAGCGCGUGACUGGUAGAGCGCGUCCAAGCGAUGAGGGAGUUAAGUAGUGAAGAACGCUUAACAAUCCUGGGUCGUGAUGGGGACUGAAAAUAAGUAGGGAAGCUGUUGAAUUCACGCUGGCGAGAAAAGCUGCUAAGGAGCGAAAGGGUGCCUGUACCGCAAACCGACACAGGUAGGCGAGGAGAGAAUCCUAAGACGAGCGGGAGAACCCAUGUUAAGGAACUCGGCAAAAUGACCCUGUAACUUCGGGAUAAAGGGAGCCACGAGAGUGGCCGCAGAGAAUAGGCCCAAGCGACUGUUUACCAAAAACACAGGUCUGUGCGAAGUAGAGAUACGACGUAUACGGGCUGACGCCUGCCCAGUGCCGGAAGGUUAAGGGGAAGUGUUAGGGCAACCGAAGCACGGAACUUAAGCCCCGGUGAACGGCGGCCGUAACUAUAACGGUCCUAAGGUAGCGAAAUUCCUUGUCGGGUAAGUUCCGACCCGCACGAAUGGCGUAACGACUUGGGCACUGUCUCAACAUGGGACCCGGCGAAAUUGUAGUAUGUGUGAAGAUGCACAUUACCCGCGAUAGGACGGAAAGACCCCGUAGAGCUUUACUGUAGUUUAACAUUGGAUUUCGGUAACAUAUGUACAGGAUAGGUGGGAGGCGAAGAACCAGGGACGCCAGUUUCUGGGGAGCCGACCUUGGGAUACCACUCUUGUGUUAUUGGAGUUCUAACGAAUUGCCGUGAACCGGGAUUCGGACAGUGUUAGAUGGGCAGUUUGACUGGGGCGGUCGCCUCCUAAAGAGUAACGGAGGCGUCCAAAGGUUCCCUCAGAAUGGUUGGAAACCAUUCGCAGAGUGUAAAGGCAGAAGGGAGCUUGACUGCGAGACCGACAGGUCGAGCAGGUGCGAAAGCAGGGCUUAGUGAUCCGGCGGUAUGAGAGUGGAAUUGCCGUCGCUCAACGGAUAAAAGCUACCUCGGGGAUAACAGGCUGAUCUCCCCCAAGAGUCCACAU
This 1390-nucleotide ribosomal RNA is filed under the name human gut metagenome. RNAcentral's name for it is "bacterial LSU rRNA". It matches the Rfam family "Bacterial large subunit ribosomal RNA", at positions 1097 to 2505 of the family's 2925-position model. The record is from RNAcentral.